RNAcentral lists this ribosomal RNA (468 nucleotides) under uncultured bacterium. RNAcentral's name for it is "partial 16S ribosomal RNA". It matches the Rfam family "Bacterial small subunit ribosomal RNA", at positions 28 to 507 of the family's 1533-position model. The record is from RNAcentral.
GACGAACGCUGGCGGCGUGCUUAACACAUGCCAGUCGAACGGAAAGGCCCUGCUUUUGUGGGGUUCUCGAGUGGCGAACGGGUGAGUAACACGUGAGUAACCUGCCCUUGACUUUGGGAUAACUUCAGGAAACUGGGGCUAAUACCGGAUAGGAGCUCCUGCUGCAUGGUGGGGGUUGGAAAGUUUCGGCGGUUGGGGAUGGACUCGCGGCUUAUCAGCUUGUUGGUGAGGUAGUGGCUUACCAAGGCUUUGACGGGUAGCCGGCCUGAGAGGGUGACCGGCCACAUUGGGACUGAGAUACGGACCAGACUCCUACGGGAGGCAGCAGUGGGGAAUAUUGCACAAUGGGCGGAAGCCUGAUGCAGCAACGCCGCGUGCGGGAUGCCGGCCUUCGGGUUGUAAACCGCUUUCGCAUGUGACGAAGCGUGAGUGACGGUAAUGGGUAAAGAAGCACCGGCUAACUACGUG